RNAcentral lists this ribosomal RNA (406 nucleotides) under uncultured bacterium. RNAcentral describes it as "partial 16S ribosomal RNA". It matches the Rfam family "Bacterial small subunit ribosomal RNA", at positions 29 to 526 of the family's 1533-position model. The record is from RNAcentral.
AUUGAACGCUGGCGGCAGGCCUAACACAUGCAAGUCGAGCGAGCGGCGGACGGGCGAGCAAUGUAUGGGGAUCUGCCCGAUAGAGGGGGCUGACUACUGGAAACGGUGGCUAAUACCGCAUACUACCCGAUGAACCCAUGUGGGAUUAGCGAGUAGGUGGGGUAAAGGCUCACCUAGGCGACGAUGCCUAGCUGGUCUGAGAGGAUGAUCAGCCACACUGGGACUGAGACACGGCCCAGACUCCUACGGGAGGCAGCAGUGGGGAAUAUUGCACAAUGGGCGCAAGCCUGAUGCAGCCAUGCCGCGUGUAUGAAGAAGGUUUUAGGGUCGUAAAGUACUGUCAGCGGGGAGGCGUUACCCGCAGAAGAAGCACCGGCUAACUCCGUGCCAGCAGCCGCGGUAAUAC